AGCGAACGCUGGCGGCAGGCCUAACACAUGCAAGUCGAACGAACUCUUCUGAGUUAGUGGCGGACGGGUGAGUAACACGUGGGAACGUGCCUUUUGGUUCGGAAUAACUCAGGGAAACUUGUGCUAAUACCGAAUGUGCCCUUCGGGGGAAAGAUUUAUCGCCAUUAGAGCGGCCCGCGUCUGAUUAGCUAGUUGGUGAGGUAACGGCUCACCAAGGCGACGAUCAGUAGCUGGUCUGAGAGGAUGACCAGCCACACUGGGACUGAGACACGGCCCAGACUCCUACGGGAGGCAGCAGUGGGGAAUCUUGCGCAAUGGGCGAAAGCCUGACGCAGCCAUGCCGCGUGAAUGAUGAAGGUCUUAGGAUUGUAAAAUUCUUUCACCGGGGACGAUAAUGACGGUACCCGGAGAAGAAGCCCCGGCUAACUUCGUG
RNAcentral lists this ribosomal RNA (433 nucleotides) under uncultured bacterium. Its description in RNAcentral is "partial 16S ribosomal RNA". It matches the Rfam family "Bacterial small subunit ribosomal RNA", at positions 29 to 507 of the family's 1533-position model. The record is from RNAcentral.